This is a long non-coding RNA of Ochotona princeps (American pika), 484 nucleotides long. RefSeq lists it as uncharacterized. NCBI's taxonomy places the organism in Eukaryota, Metazoa, Chordata, Mammalia, Lagomorpha, Ochotonidae. The transcript has 3 exons. The record is from RefSeq and is a predicted model, not a curated record.
CCUGUUUCUUCUUUGUGCUGGUGUUUGUGUUGCUACUUUUGGUACUCUUUGGGGCUGCUAUUUUUGUGUUCUUUUUUGUGCCCGCCACUAUGAGCAAUGGAAAGAGAGGCGGGAACAAAGCAGGAACAAAGAAGCAAGGAGAGCAGAGCCAUGGUACAUAAACACACCAUCCUACGUAAACAUAGGAGGAGGAGGUGGAGAAAGACCACAAGAAUCGGGAGGAAGAGCUGGAUCGGCACGAGGACGUGGUCCUCCUCCAGAAGCUGGCGGACCACAGGGAGGUGGAAGGACAGGAGGUGUGCGUUUGGGGUUUCCUUCGUCCACACCACAAGGAGCAGGACAUGGAGGACAACAAGGAGGAGGCAGAGGACUAAGAAGAGCAAGAGGUAGAGGACAACAAGGAGGAGGAGCAGGAGUUGGAGGACCUUGCUGUGGGAAAUACAGCGGAGGCCUCCUUAACAAUGAUGCGUCUUCUCUCUGCAGG